AUUGAACGCUGGCGGCAUGCCUUACACAUGCAGGUCGAACGGCAGCACGGGUGCUUGCACCUGGUGGCGAGUGGCGAACGGGUGAGUAAUACAUCGGAACAUGUCCUGUAGUGGGGGAUAGCCCGGCGAAAGCCGGAUUAAUACCGCAUACGAUCUACGGAUGAAAGCGGGGGACCUUCGGGCCUCGCGCUAUAGGGUUGGCCGAUAGCUGAUUAGCUAGUUGGUGGGGUAAAGGCCUACCAAGGCGACGAUCAGUAGCUGGUCUGAGAGGACGACCAGCCACACUGGGACUGAGACACGGCCCAGACUCCUACGGGAGGCAGCAGUGGGGAAUUUUGGACAAUGGGCGAAAGCCUGAUCCAGCAAUGCCGCGUGUGUGAAGAAGGCCUUCGGGUUGUAAAGCACUUUUGUCCGGAAAGAAAUCCUUGGCUCUAAUACAGUCGGGGGAUGACGGUACCGGAAGAAUAAGCACCGGCUAACUACGUG
RNAcentral lists this ribosomal RNA (486 nucleotides) under uncultured bacterium. RNAcentral's name for it is "partial 16S ribosomal RNA". It matches the Rfam family "Bacterial small subunit ribosomal RNA", at positions 30 to 507 of the family's 1533-position model. The record is from RNAcentral.